AGUGAACGCUGGCGGUAGGCCUAACACAUGCAAGUCGAACGGCAGCACAGUAAGAGCUUGCUCUUACGGGUGGCGAGUGGCGGACGGGUGAGGAAUACAUCGGAAUCUACUUUUUCGAGGGGGAGAACGUAGGGAAACUUACGCUAAUACCGCAUACGACCUACGGGUGAAAGCAGGGGAUCUUCGGACCUUGCGCGAUUCAAUGAGCCGAUGUCGGAUUAGCUAGUUGGCGGGGUAAAGGCCCACCAAGGCGACGAUCCGUAACUGGUCUGAGAGGAUGAUCAGCCACACUGGAACUGAGACACGGUCCAGACUCCUACGGGAGGCAGCAGUGGGGAAUAUUGGACAAUGGGCGCAAGCCUGAUCCAGCCAUACCGCGUGUGUGAAGAAGGCCUUCGGGUUGUAAAGCCCUUUUGUUGGGAAAGAAGAGCAGCAGGUUAAUACCCCGCUGUUCUGACGGUACCCAAAGAAUAAGCACCGGCUAACUUCGUG
Molecule: ribosomal RNA, 492 nt
Filed under: uncultured bacterium
Lineage: Bacteria
Description: partial 16S ribosomal RNA
Rfam family: Bacterial small subunit ribosomal RNA
Source: RNAcentral